RNAcentral lists this ribosomal RNA (193 nucleotides) under uncultured Staphylococcus sp. RNAcentral describes it as "partial 16S ribosomal RNA". It matches the Rfam family "Bacterial small subunit ribosomal RNA", at positions 148 to 334 of the family's 1533-position model. The record is from RNAcentral. Lineage: Bacteria; Bacillati; Bacillota; Bacilli; Caryophanales; Staphylococcaceae.
ACCGGGAAACCGGAGACUAAUACCGGAUAAUAUAUUGAACCGCAUGGUUCAAUAGUGAAAGACGGUUUUGCUGUCACUUAUAGAUGGAUCCGCGCCGCAUUAGCUAGUUGGUAAGGUAACGGCUUACCAAGGCAACGAUGCGUAGCCGACCUGAGAGGGUGAUCGGCCACACUGGAACUGAGACACGGUCCAG